Molecule: ribosomal RNA, 958 nt
Filed under: uncultured organism
Description: bacterial SSU rRNA
Rfam family: Bacterial small subunit ribosomal RNA
Source: RNAcentral
CGAACGCUGACGGCGUGCUUACACAUGCAAGUCGCACGAGAAAGUUCGCCUUCGGGUGAAUGAGUAAAGUGGCGCACGGGUGGGUAACACGUGGGUAAUCUGCCUUGGAGUCCGGAAUAACACUGCGAAAGCGGUGCUAAUACCGGAUAAGCUCACGGUUUUAAUACAGUGGGAAAAGAUGGCCUCUGUUUCGAGCUAUCGCUUUAAGAUGAGCCCGCGUACCAUUAGCUUGUUGGUGGGGUAACGGCCUACCAAGGCGACGAUGGUUAGCUGGCCUGAGAGGGCGGCCAGCCACACUGGAACUGAGACACGGUCCAGACUCCUACGGGAGGCAGCAGUGAGGAAUAUUGCGCAAUGGGGGAAACCCUGACGCAGCGACGCCGUGUGAGUGAUGAAGGUUUUCGGAUCGUAAAGCUCUGUCAGAUGGGAAGAAUAAGGGCAUGGAAAAUAUUCAUGUCCGAUGACGGUACCAUCAGAGGAAGCACCGGCUAACUCCGUGCCAGCAGCCGCGGUAAUACGGAGGGUGCAAGCGUUGUUCGGAAUUACUGGGCGUAAAGCGCGUGUAGGCGGACAUGUAGGUCAGUUGUGAAAUCCCCUGGCUCAACCAGGGAACUGCUUCUGAAACCAUAUGUCUUGAGUACGUCAGAGGAGAGUGGAAUUCCCAGUGUAGAGGUGAAAUUCAUAGAUCUUGGGAAGAACACCGGUGGCGAAGGCGGCUCUCUGGGGCGAUACUGACGCUGAGACGCGAAAGCGUGGGUAGCAAACCAGGAUUAGAUACCCUGGUAGUCCACGCCGUAAACGAUGUGCACUAGGUGUUGGAAGUAAUUAAACUUUCAGUGCCGCAGCUAACGCAUUAAGUGCACCGNCUGGGGAAUUCGGCCGCAAGGCUAAAACUUCCAAGGAAUUGACGGGGGCCCGCACAAGCGGUGGAGUAUGUGGUUUAAUUCGACGCAACGCG